Molecule: ribosomal RNA, 253 nt
Filed under: uncultured bacterium
Lineage: Bacteria
Description: partial 16S ribosomal RNA
Rfam family: Bacterial small subunit ribosomal RNA
Source: RNAcentral
UACGAAGGGGGCUAGCGUUGUUCGGAUUUACUGGGCGUAAAGCGCGUGUAGGCGGACUGAUAAGUUGGGGGUGAAAGCCCAGGGCUCAACCCUGGAACUGCCUUCAAGACUGUCAGUCUGGACUCAAGGAGAGGCGAGUGGAAUCGCGAGCGUAGAGGUGAAAUUCGUAGAUAUUCGCAGGAGCACCAGUGGCGAAGGCGACUCGCUGGACUUGUAGUGACGCUGAGACGCGAAAGCGUGGGGAGCAAACAGG